Molecule: ribosomal RNA, 447 nt
Filed under: uncultured bacterium
Lineage: Bacteria
Description: partial 16S ribosomal RNA
Rfam family: Bacterial small subunit ribosomal RNA
Source: RNAcentral
AGCGAACGCUGGCGGCAGGCCUAACACAUGCAAGUCGAACGAUCCUUCGGGAUAGUGGCGGACGGGUGAGUAACACGUGGGAACGUACCUUUUGGUUCGGAAUAACGCAGAGAAAUUUGCGCUAAUACCGAAUGUGCCCUUCGGGGGAAAGAUUUAUCGCCAUUAGAGCGGCCCGCGUUAGAUUAGCUAGUUGGUGGGGUAAAGGCCCACCAAGGCUACGAUCUAUAGCUGGUCUGAGAGGAUGAUCAGCCACACUGGGACUGAGACACGGCCCAGACUCCUACGGGAGGCAGCAGUGGGGAAUCUUGCGCAAUGGGCGAAAGCCUGACGCAGCCAUGCCGCGUGAAUGAUGAAGGUCUUAGGAUUGUAAAAUUCUUUCAGUAGGGACGAUAAUGACGGUACCUACAGAAGAAGCCCCGGCUAACUUCGUGCCAGCCGCCGCCGUAA